Molecule: ribosomal RNA, 315 nt
Filed under: uncultured bacterium
Lineage: Bacteria
Description: bacterial SSU rRNA
Rfam family: Bacterial small subunit ribosomal RNA
Source: RNAcentral
AGUGAACGCUGGCGGCAGGCCUAACACAUGCAAGUCGAGCGGCAGCGGGUUCCCGCGAGGGGAUGCCGGCGAGCGGCGGACGGGUGAGGAACACAUCGGAAUCUGCCUGGUUGUGGGGGAUAACGUAGGGAAACUUACGCUAAUACCGCAUGCGACCCUGAGUCGACGGACUGGGGGUGAAAGUGAGGGACCUUCGGGCCUCACGCGACCAGAUGAGCCGAUGUCGGAUUAGCUAGUUGGCGGGGUAACGGCCCGCCAAGGCGACGAUCCGUAGCUGGUCUGAGAGGAUGAUCAGCCACACUGGGACUGAGACAC